CUACGGGGCGCUCCAGUGGGGAAUAUUGCACAAUGGAGGAAACUCUGAUGCAGCAACGCCGCGUGGAGGAUGACACUUUUCGGAGCGUAAACUCCUUUUAUAUAGGAAGAAGAUGACGGUACUAUAUGAAUAAGCGCCGGCUAACUCCGUGCCAGCAGCCGCGGUAAUACGGAGGGCGCAAGCGUUACUCGGAAUCACUGGGCGUAAAGAGCGUGUAGGCGGAUUAAAAAGUCAGAAGUGAAAUCCUAUAGCUUAACUAUAGAACUGCUUCUGAAACUCUUAAUCUAGAAUAUGGGAGAGGUAGAUGGAAUUUCUGGUGUAGGGGUAACAUCCGUAGAGAUCAGAAGGAAUACCGAUUGCGAAGGCGAUCUACUAGAACAUUAUUGACGCUGAGACGCGAAAGCGUGGGGAGCAAACAGGAUUAGAUACCCUUGUAGUC
RNAcentral lists this ribosomal RNA (439 nucleotides) under uncultured bacterium. RNAcentral's name for it is "partial 16S ribosomal RNA". It matches the Rfam family "Bacterial small subunit ribosomal RNA", at positions 339 to 795 of the family's 1533-position model. The record is from RNAcentral.